This 1211-nucleotide long non-coding RNA is filed under the name Homo sapiens (human). RNAcentral's name for it is "HSALNT0404638". Lineage: Eukaryota; Metazoa; Chordata; Mammalia; Primates; Hominidae. The record is from RNAcentral.
CCUGGCUUCUGUGAAACUGAACAUCUCCAAGUAAAUAUUUUCACUGCUAAGCACAGGCAGCACUUCGAGGCUUCGUGACGAAGACGUGGAAACCGCAACCCGGACCUCGCCGUCAGAGCCGGGCCUGCAUUUCCCAGUCAGCACGUGUGUCCCUUCUCCUCAGCAACCGCCAGCCCUGGGACAAGCCCCACACCACCCUGGUUACCCUCAGCUGCGAGAUGGGAGGUGCCGGGCACAGCCAGGACUGCAUCUGGUCCGUGCUGCAGGGAUGCAGCCCCGCAUGGGGCCGGGGCUUAGAUCAGCCUCUUGUUGGGUUGAGCGGGGAGGCGCACACCUGCCCCAGACUGCAGCUCAAAAGAGGCAGAGGCGAGGGUCAAGCGUUCCAUACCCCGAGGUCCCCGGGGGCCCCGUCAGAAAAGGUCCUGGGCGCAGACUUCACCUUCUGGACCUUCUCCUAUCCGGAAAGUAUGUGGCUCACACGGUGGUGCAAGGAGCCUUGGGCUGGGCAGCUGCUGGCCUGGAUCCGAGUCCUGCCCUGGUGAAAGUGCUGAUUACUUUACAUACUUCUACAUCUGCAGAACCAGGUGAUUGAUCCUCAAAGCCCAGCCAGCUCCAGCAAGCUCUGGUACCUGCAACCACGGGCCGCCCUGUGCCCGGCCCACCUUCCUCGAACCGUGUUCCGCUCACCUGUGGCGCGGCCGCCCCCGGAGCAGCGCGUGCCGUGUGCCGAGGACAGAGGCAGACCCGGACAGAGAUAGAUGUGGAGGGGUAGCCAGUAUCAGGGGCACCCCCGCUUGUGCUCACUGCCCCACCCGCCUGCUUUUGCCGCUAACGUCCAGACAUUCUUCUCUUAACCCCAAAGCCCCUGGGGUUCAGUUCCUGCUGUUGCAGCCCAAGGGCUCCACCAAGAGCUGGGGGCAGUGUCCACCUCCUGGGGGUCUCGAGGGGCUCCAUAAGAGCCCCUUGUCCUGAGCCCCCACCCAGGCUGCGCACUGGCAGCUGUUCAGUCCCGGCUGGCUUUAAUUGUUGUCGUUUAAUAUUCAAUAUUGACAUAAACUCUAUUUUGGUUGUGAAACCACUCAGCAUUCCAUGUCCUUAUUCCUGGAUUUUGAUUCUAAGCCCCUUUAGGAAAUGUCUGCCCCGAAGUGACCGUCUCGUCUGGAAGGUUCCCACAGAGCAGGGUAUGAUGACAGCCCAACGGGCUUCCUCCC